UACGUAGGUGGCAAGCGUUGUCCGGAUUUAUUGGGUUUAAAGGGUGCGUAGGCGGCCCUGUAAGUCAGUGCUGAAAUAUCCCAGCUUAACUGGGAGGGUGGCAUUGAUACUGCGGGGCUAGAGUACAGAUGAGGUAGGCGGAAUUGACGGUGUAGCGGUGAAAUUCGUAGAUAUUCGGAAGAACACCAGUGGCGAAGGCGGCUCACUGGACCGGCAUUGACGCUGAGGUGCGAAAGCGUGGGGAGCAAACAGG
This 253-nucleotide ribosomal RNA is filed under the name uncultured bacterium. Its description in RNAcentral is "partial 16S ribosomal RNA". It matches the Rfam family "Bacterial small subunit ribosomal RNA", at positions 524 to 776 of the family's 1533-position model. The record is from RNAcentral.